This 124-nucleotide small nucleolar RNA is filed under the name Dasypus novemcinctus (nine-banded armadillo). RNAcentral describes it as "Small nucleolar RNA SNORA32 (ENSDNOG00000033526.1)". It matches the Rfam family "Small nucleolar RNA SNORA32". Rfam says of the family: ACA32 is a member of the H/ACA class of snoRNA that guide the sites of modification of uridines to pseudouridines. Lineage: Eukaryota; Metazoa; Chordata; Mammalia; Cingulata; Dasypodidae. The record is from RNAcentral.
AGGUCAUUACCCAUGCUUUUAGAAUGCAGUUUCUGAUUUGCUGUGGAGAUGAUUGUAAAAAAAAACAUUCCCACUAGGUUGUCCUUUUGCUACCUUGCUAGCAUUCAACCUAUUGGGAACAUUC